GUAGGUGGCAAGCGUUGUCCGGAAUUAUUGGGCGUAAAGCGCGCGCAGGUGGUUCUUUAAGUCUGAUGUGAAAGCCCCCGGCUCAACCGGGGAGGGUCAUUGGAAACUGGGGAACUUGAGUGCAGGAGAGGAAAGUGGAAUUCCACGUGUAGCGGUGAAAUGCGUAGAUAUGUGGAGGAACACCAGUGGCGAAGGCGACUUUCUGGCCUGUAACUGACACUGAGGCGCGAAAGCGUGGGGAGCAAACAGGGAUUAGAUACCCUGGUAGUCCACGCCGUAACGAUGAGUGCUAAGUGUUGGGGGGGUUUCCCGCCCCUCAGUGCUGCAGCUAACGCAUUAAGCACUCCGCCUGGGGAGUACGGUCGCAAGACUG
Molecule: ribosomal RNA, 373 nt
Filed under: uncultured organism
Description: partial 16S ribosomal RNA
Rfam family: Bacterial small subunit ribosomal RNA
Source: RNAcentral